CGCCAAUCUCACCUUCGCUCCGACAUCUCUCUCUGGCCUGAGGGUUUCUCUGCAAAGCUCUGAUUUCAGUUCAAAACCCAUCUCUCAUUUCCCCAAAAUGACCUCCGCAAGCCCUCUACAGAUCGCCGACGACGAUGACGGGUUCGACUGGGAGGCAGCUGUGAAAGAAAUCGAUGUGGCAUGUCAAAGCGCAAACCCCUUAACUUCACUCCCCAACUAUCCAUCUUCUUCCCAUUUUGUUCCUCUUCAGAAUAAUUGUAAUUAUGUGUCUUCUUCUAAUAAGAUAUUGAGAAAGCCCGGGGCUUAUAAGCAAUCUACCCUCCAUAGUUUUAUUGGGAAGGGUGUGGGUCUCGAGCAUCCACAUGAAAAUCCAGUGGUUGAUGAUCCUGAUCAGCAGGUUGCUGUUGAUGGUGAAGAUGAGAGGGUAAGCUGCGUUGGGAUUGAUGUUGAGGCUGCUAAAACUUGGAUAUAUCCAGUUAAUGUCCCACUUCGUGAAUAUCAGUUGGCUAUAACCAAGACAGCAUUAUUUUCAAAUACAUUGGUGGCAUUGCCAACAGGGCUUGGAAAGACACUUAUUGCUGCAGUUGUAAUGUAUAACUAUUUCAGAUGGUUUCCAGAUGGGAAAAUAGUAUUUGCUGCACCAUCUCGACCACUUGUAAUGCAACAAAUAGAAGCAUGCCAUAAUAUUGUGGGAAUACCACAAGAAUGGACAAUUGAUAUGACAGGUCAGCUAAGUCCUACAAAAAGGGCAUGCUUUUGGAAAACUAAACGGGUGUUCUUUGUUACUCCACAAGUUCUGGAGAAGGAUAUUCAAGCUGGUGAUGGUCUAAGUUAUGCCUUAAUAAACCUACAAAAAGCAAAAGGGUUAUGCCUUAUUACUUAUGCGGAAAAUUUUGUGAAUGUUAAAUGAUUGUUGUAUGUGAAAAAUUACAUUCUGUGGCUUUCAUUUAUCUGUGCAACAUUCUUCAGUUAUGUUCCACCACUGAAUUUUUCUCAUUGAGAAAAUUAUUGCAGGCACUUGUUUGGUAAAAUACCUAGUAUGUUUGGUUAUUGAUGAAGCUCAUCGUGCAUUAGGAAAUUAUUCUUACUGUGUAGCAGUUCGCGAGUUGAUGACAGUACCACUGCAGCUAAGAAUAUUGGCUUUGACUGCGACACCAGGAUCAAAGCAGCAAGCCAUCCAGAAUAUUAUUAGUAACUUACAUAUAUCAACUCUUGAAUAUCGUGAUGAAAAUGAUCCUGAUGUAAGCCCAUAUGUUCAUAACAGAAAGAUUGAAUUGCUUGAGGUUGCACUGGGAAAAGAUGCUGUUGAUAUAAAUAAACAGUUACUGGAGGUGAUACGUCCAUAUGCGGCUAGGCUUUCUGCAGUUGGACUUCUCCAAAAUCGAGACUAUAAAACUUUCAGCCCCCCAGAUUUACUUAAUUCAAGGGAUAAAUUUCGCCGAGCACCUCCACCAGAACUUCCCCAGGGCAAAUAUGGAGAAAUUGAAGCUUAUUUUGGAGGUCUUAUUACUCUUUAUCACAUUCGUAAGCUACUUUCCAGUCAUGGAAUAAGGCCAGCAUAUGAGAUGCUGGAAGAAAAGUUGAAACAAGGGCCAUUUGCAAGACUGAUGACUAAAAAUGAAGACAUUAGAAAAGUAAAACUUUCAAUGCAGCAAAGCUUGUCUCAUGGUGCCCCUAGUCCCAAAUUGUCAAAAAUGUUGGAAGUUCUGGUGGACCAUUUCAAAACAAAUGAUCCACAGAACUCAAGGGUAAUAAUUUUCUCCAAUUUUAGAGGAAGUGUAAGGGAUAUAAUGGAUGCACUGUCUAACAUUGGGGAUUUAGUUAAAGCAACAGAAUUUAUUGGUCAAAGCACAGGAAAAGCAUUGAAAGGCCAGUCACAAAAAGUUCAACAGGCUGUUUUGGAGAAAUUUCGAGCUGGCAAAUACAAUGUUAUUGUUGCCACGUCAAUUGGUGAAGAAGGCCUGGAUAUCAUGGAAGUGGAUCUUGUAAUAUGUUUCGAUGCUAAUGUGUCACCACUAAGAAUGAUCCAGCGUAUGGGGAGAACUGGAAGGAAGCAUGAUGGACGAGUUAAUAUCCUUUUGUCAUUUGGUUAAUGCAUUUUACGAAGUAGGUUGUUGAUAGAUCACCAUAUUUCAUUCCUGAAGACUCUUUAAGUUGUUUAACUUUGUAAUUUCUUAGUGCUUCUUUGCCAAGUUGUACCUUGACAAGGUUUUACUAGUUUUAGCUUGUGAAGGGUCUGAAUUGAAGGGUUAUAUGCGAAAACAAGCAAACAGCAGGGCCAUUAGGAAACACAUGCAUAAUGGGGGGAUAAAUAGCUUUGAUUUCCAUUCUAGCCCAAGGAUGAUUCCCCAUGUUUUUAAACCAGAAGUCCAAUUUGUCAAGCUAUCAAUUGAACAAUACAUUCCUCGUGGAAAGAAAGUGAAAGAUGAUAGUGCUAUCCAGACACCCAUGUUCAGAGCCAAAUUAAAUGCUGAUGAAGUUGCUUUAAUUGCCAAGUACUUUGAGCCCACCAGUGAAAAAUCUUGGAGACCAUCUCUUAUUGCCUUUCCACAUUUCCAGGCAUUUCCCUCAAGAGUGCAUAAAGUAAUGCAUUCUUAUAGAACAGACAUGCUGAUUGAUACAAUGCAAUAUUUGCAAAAUCUAUCAUUUUCUGGGGAGAGCAACACUUUCUUUACUGAGGGUGAAAUUGCUUCAGGUAAGUGCUUGGGAGUUGACACUGUUGAAAAAGAGGACAAUGAUAAAGAUCCACUGAUUUGGGAUGAAUCUCCAAGUACCAAGUCACAGAAAACAGUAACAGAUUCUGAGGUAUCAUCCCUAAAGUCCUUGAGAACCAAGGAGCAAAAUGUGCUGGAUCCCCAAGGCCAAAGACCAGCAGGCCAUUCCUAUCUUUUUGGUUCAGAAUUUGUGUCUGUAGAUGCUCAUGGAAAGGUCAUAAUUUUGUCUGUCCCAGUGCUUCCAUUAAAAGAGGCAUCACAAACUAAUUGUACAAGUCCUAGCGCAACUGUGCUGCUAAAUUGCUUGAAGCCAAAUUCUUGCCAUUUGAAAAAUCCAGGUAAAAAUUAUGAGGAACAGACUGUACAAGGCAAGUCUAGUCAAGACAUAAUAACAUCUUGGGUUCAGUGUGAAACAAGUGUGGCUUUGGCAAUGUCUAAGUCUAAUCUCCAGCAGGAGACAACACUGGAUCAGGUUGAAAAAUUUCCUGAGACUUCAGUAUUGAAGAAAAUCAUUUCAAACGAAGGAGAUUGUGUUGGUGAAGCACUCAAUUGCUUGGAAAUCAAGGUGCCGUCUUUGCAUGCUGAUGAAUAUGACAACAGUAAUGAACUGAGUCCCAGGCUAACCAAUAUGAUCCAAAGUGGUUUUGUUCCGGAAUCUCCAAUAGAUAUUGGACUGUUGAAUGGCAAAGGAAGGAAUGAGUUUUUGGCUACAGAUGUAUCACCCAUGAAAUUGUGUGCUGAACUACUGUCAAAGUCUCAGAGUCCAAGAAAAAAUGAUAUUGCUAUCAGCAGUAGUUCCUGUCAAAGAGAUGUCUCCAUAUCUUCUAUUAAUAAUGAAUUUCAUACUCCUAUACUUAAGGAGAACAAUGUUGUCAGAACAGAUGGAUGUACCUCAAUUUCCCCAGCUGCUGAAGAAACCAAUACUCCCUUGGCAAAUCUCACCAAAAAUAGCUUGAGCAAAGAUUGGCUUCCGAGUUCUGGAGACAAAUCGGAAAAUGUUGAACAAGCGCGCAAGUUCAAGAGAUUGCGGAAAAUUGGAGAUGUUGACAGAAAUAGGAAUCCAGAAGGCAACAAAGAUAAAUCUUUAGCGCCAAUUGCAAACCUUGGUAGAUCCUUUUCUGAUAUCAGUCCUAACCAAAUAAAGUACUGUAAAGGUAACUCAAAUCCACUUAUAGCUGGUCCAUUGUUGCACCCAAAACUUUUUAAUUGCUAACCAAUUUCAUUCUCACUUCUGCUUGAAUUAAGCCACUUGUAAAUGCAAUAUAGGGGUAUGGCAUGCGUUAUAUUUAGGAAACGAACUUCAAACUACUAUCAGUAAUAUAGUACCGCUUGUGUUCAGGUAAAAGGAAGCUAACUGGCAAUGCCAGGACCUUCAUUGAGGAGGAAGCUGAGGUAUCUUCUGAAGCUGAAAUGUCUGACGAUGAGAAAGAUGACUCAGGCAACAGUUCAUAUGAUGAUAGUUUCAUAGAUGACAGGACAAAUCCCACAGCAGCAAGUAUUCAAGCUGAAACUAGUAGAGUUGACAUGAUGGCAGUUUACAGGCGUUCUUUGCUCACCCAAUCACCAAUUGAGAGGGAAUCAAAUUCAUACAUCACUAGUACUCCUGAUUGUGGGAAUUCCGUGAGCAGAAGGAACGAAAGCAAAAGCUCCUCAGUCAAGACAUUAUGUUCUUUCCAGACCCCUCAACCUGAUUCUGCAAAUGACUCUGCCAGGAGAGAUACAGAUUCCUUUCGCACUACUGAGAGGAUGUCAGCAGCAAUGCCUAGUAUAACCGGUCAUUCUGUGAAUGAAAAUGAGAGACAGCUGGAAUCUAGGAAAAGGAAAUUGAGUUUUUGUCAGCCUGGAUCUAUUCCAGUAAUCAAUCUAGAGCAAAAAUUCUGUUUGCAGUCAGAUGCUGGCAGAAAAGAAACAUUCCAGCAGGGUCCUGCUGAAAAUUUAGAUGCUAAUGCGGAAGUUUUUCAUGAUGAUCAAUUCUUUGAAGAUCUUGAUCUUGAUGCUGUGGAGGCACAAGCUACCUUGCUUCUCAAACAUAGAUCCAAGUUAUCAGUACAAAAGCAGGAUGUAGCUCCAAAAUCCGAUGCACAAAAUUUUGACCUUCAGAGUUCUCCAUCAUUUGAUCUUGGGAUAUGGUAAUUUAGAGGUAAAUCUUUAUAAUUCCCUCCCUCAAGCAUCUUUCUGAAGAAUCCCUUCAAGCAAAAUGCAGAGAAUGCACAGUAGCACAGUGUUCUGAGAAUUCUAGCAAGUUUUUUUGGAGGCAAAUAGAAUUGAUACAGUACAAACCAAUGUAAUUUAUAUAAUAGAUUAUUUAACAGUGCAGAGACAAAAAAAAAAAGAAAGAAAAAGAUUAUGUAGAGCUCCAUGUAUAGAAGGAUAGGCCAUCAUCCAUUGUAUAGAAACAUUACACCAGAAAUACCAUGUUCAUAAAAAAAAUGGAGGCAAAAUAGCUGCAGAGGUCAAAUUCUAAGAUAACUCAUCAUUUUGUCCGCACGUUAGUGUGGAUUAUUUAUUAUUUUAUUUUAAUAAUAUAAUUUAAUAUGUAUUCUUUUAUGUUUUAUAUGAUUAUAAAAUUUAAUAAUUUAAAUUCUCAUAUUAUAAUCAUAUAUGUCUGCUGUUUCUUAUGUUUUAUCUAGUUUUUCUAAUAAGGCCGUACCUCUGUCUUGGGGAGCAGGGAACAAUAUGGACAUGGUCAUAAGAUGAAUUCAUCUUCAUUCUCAAGGUCUAUUCUACAUAUGACCCAUUUCAUCACAAUAGGCCUAUGUUCAUAGCAUGAACACGAGAAAUCAACCUGUUGAUGAGGCAUUAAAAAUACAAUCAAUGAAGAAGAGGUGGCUUCAAAAUUCUGCACUACACUAAGAAACUCUACACUCCCAUUGUCAUGUUGAAGAGUUUGAUGCCUUUCAAAAACCCUUAAUACAAAAGAGUUCUAGAAUCAAGAUAAGCAGGACUAUAUUACAUGUUUAUAUAGACAGAUAAUUAAGAAUCAAAAGUUAAUUUCCUAUUCUUCUACACCACUCUAGAAUUCUCAAAAGUUUCAAUCUCAUGUGAAUUUCUUUCUGGACGUAGGUGCUUCAGAAAUCAGAAAU
RNAcentral lists this unclassified non-coding RNA (5797 nucleotides) under Hevea brasiliensis (rubber tree). The record is from RNAcentral. Lineage: Eukaryota; Viridiplantae; Streptophyta; Magnoliopsida; Malpighiales; Euphorbiaceae.